This 6837-nucleotide long non-coding RNA is filed under the name Citrus sinensis (sweet orange). Its description in RNAcentral is "long non-coding RNA (CSIN_LNC003206)". The record is from RNAcentral. Lineage: Eukaryota; Viridiplantae; Streptophyta; Magnoliopsida; Sapindales; Rutaceae.
UCGAACCAUUGCCCUCACUAAUGUGCGGGCAACAUCUCACAACUCAACCUUUAGCCAAGUUGCAAUAUGUUUUUUUUACACAUUAUAAGUACAUUUCCUUGCCAAACGAACAUCUUAUUAUCUUUUCGUCGAAAAGUGAGUCACUUCAUGAUUCAUUUCUUGUCAAAAUCUCUAUUUUAUGUUUUAUUCUAUUUUCUUAUCCAUUAGUUCUAAAUCUUUAUAAAGAUAUAAACUGGCCGUAAAUUUUCUUUUAUUGAAAUUUUCUUCUCCCCUAAUUUGGUGGUUGGGAGUUUAUAGCUUGUUAAAUAUAUUUUUGGUGAUUAUUUCAAGAUCUGAAGCUUUUACAUCUCAGAUCUAAGAACUUGUCCUUUUUUUUGCGGUUUGUAUGUCUUGGUGGUGCACUUUUACUACAUCUUAAGUUAUUAGAUUCCAGAUCUAGAAAAUCACAGGGUUGAUCUACUUAAAUGAUGCGACUAGCAAUCAGAAUGAUCAAUAAUAAUGGUCGGAAAUAUUUCGAUGAGCACAAGAGACAUCUCUGGCGGUGCGCAAGUUGUUAUGUGCACAUCUUGGGUGGAUCCUUUCAAUUCUAAUCCCAAUGCAUAAAAUCUUUAACCGGAUGUCGGUAAGCUUACAAUUAAUUGUUUUUUGCAUUUAAUUAGAUAUUAUUAAAAAUCUUUCUUUGACUGUCAUUAUCGUCAUCCUCAUCAUCGUUAUUAUCAUUAUUUUUCUAUUGUUUUUAUAUUUAACUGUGAAAUAAAAUUGGGCUUGUAGUCCAUUGGUAAUUCAUGCGUCCAAUAACCUUGAUCGCAUGAGUUUGAAUCUUAUAACUCGACUCUUCUUUCCUAAAUGUUUAUUUGACUCUCUGUUUUAGGAGUAGAAUAUAUUUUUCUCCUAUGUUAAAGUGAGAGUUGUUGUUCGGGCUGUGAUAUCUUAGAAUUACAAAGGAGAGUUGCGAUUGGUGUUUGGUUGUAAAAAUAUCAGUAGAGUUAUAAUUGUAAUAUAUCAGUAUAUUAAAAAAAAGUUAUUAUCAUUUCACUACUUCAAAAAUUACCAAAUAUCAAAUGACUACAACAAGUAUUGUCUCCUAUAAUUUUCUUACUAUAUCUUUAUAAAAAUAUCAUUUUACUACUUUUCUGUUAUAACCAUUAGUUGACCAGUUAGUUGACUAACAAAAUACCAAUUUCAUCCUUCAUGAUUAAAAAAAAAAAUACUUGAAACUUAUUUACAAAAUAAAUUUGUAAUAUAUUUAUUAAAAUAGAUAUAUAAUACCAACAUAAUUCUUUUUGCUGGAAUUAUGAUAUAUGGAUUAUAAAUUUGUCUUAUUAUUAUUUUUAAUUAUGAAGGGUAAAAUUGAUAUUUUAUUAGUCAACUAACUGGUCAACUAACGGGUCAACUAACAGUUGUAACGGAAAAGUAGUAAAAUAAUAUUUGUUGUAACGGAAAAGUAGUAAAAUUAUAUUUUUAUAAAGAUAUAGUAGGAAAAUAAUAUGAGACAAUACUUGUUGUAGUCAUUUGAUAUUUAGUAAUUUUUGAAGUAGUAAAAUGAUAAUAACCCUAAAAAAAAUUGUGUAACAAAAUUAUAAAAAAUCAUAAAUAUGUCAUUAAGCAUAUUAAUUGCUAAUCUCUAGUAAAUUGCGUAUAAAUUGAAACAUAAAUUUGACAUUAAGCACUCAGCAGGUUGUAAGAUAUAGAGGAAGAACAUGACAAAAAUAGUUGAGCAAGACACAUGAGAGUAGGAGCGCGUACAUAUAUACAUGAAAAAUACUUCGCUGUUCCAAUAUCUAGUAAAUUGCAAAUUUCUCAUAACUCUUAGAAUUACUUGGAAAAAUUAUUGCUUCUCUAAAUAUUGGAAUUUUUUUUUAGAUUGAUGUUUUUAUUCACAUAACAGGACACACUAAUCUUUAUUGAUAAAUUUGAAAUUUGAUGGAGCACAUGGCAAUACUUCUAAUACUAUAUUCAUUUUAUUUUAUACAUUAUUUUUCUUUCUAAACUUUAGUGUAUUUUGGGAAAGAUAAAUAAAGAAAAUCUCUAUUCAAAGCAAAUUUUUAGGAGGAAAGAUGGAGAAAGUAUAUCUCAAAGAGAAUUUAAAAAAAAAAUUGCCCUGUGAUAAUAGGUGAUAUGAACUUAAAUUUAUGUUGUAAUUAAAGUCGAAUUUCAUCAAUAUGUGAUAUAAGAAUGCAUUUUCUCAUAUUUUUAUCAUUACUAUAAGAUAUUUAAUGCAUUUUAUCCUAUUUUCUUCGGUUCUUCCCUAGAUUUCAAAUAUUAAGACAAGAUCCCAAAAAAAAAAAAAAAACAAGUUUCAUCGUAGGUAUGAUGUAGAACAUUAUGCAAAACUAAUCAUUAAAAAAAAAUUAAUAACUAAUUUUAGAAAAUGAUUGCCUAAGUAAGUGAUUGAAUAGAUGUUACAUUUUUCUACGAUUCUGUACUAUUCAACUUUAUUUUUAAUUUGAAAAAGAUUCGGUAGUAGUUUUCCACAGAAUCUAAGAAAUGCAGCAUCUUAAAACAGUAGUGUUAUGUCAUUUGUUAUAUCAUCCACUUUUUAGUAAUGACUAUGUUACUCUCUAAAAUUGGUUAUUAUCAGUUUGUCACAAUUUUUUUUAUAUAAAAUAAUUUUUUUUAGGUUAUAGUACGAAUUUUUUUCCUUAAUAAUGGAGAAAAUCUGAGAAGAUGCAUUCUUAUAUUACCACAUAUUUAUGGGAUUGGACUUUAAUUGCAAUAUAGAUUCGAGUUUAUUUUCAUCUAUUCUCACAAGACCCAAAAAAAAAAAAAAAAAAAAAAAAUCUCUUUAAAGGCUUAAGGGCUAUAUAUAUAUAUAUAUAUAUAGUUGAUUUUUCUUAUGUUUAGAAAGAGUAUAGUGACUGAAGUAGAUUUUCUUUCUCCUUCUUAGGAAAAUCACUUUGGAAUCAAUGCUCAAAAUGAAUAUAUUUGUGUAACCAAUUAAUUUCACAUUUAUCAGUAUAAGUGUAACCAAUUGAUUAAGAUAAAAAAAAUGCAUCAACCUCAAGAAAUAUUAUAAUAUUGAGAGAAGUAGGAACGCAGUGAUUAAGAAAUCUUACCUUUGUAGGAUUAGUGAAACACUAGGUAUUUGUGUGACUUCGUAUUUUACUGGGGUUAUUAUCUAGAAAUUUCAAUUUCUUUUUUGUUUUUUUUUUUAAGUAAACACUCAACUAACCGAGGAGAUUUAUUAAAUUGAAAGAUCAGUAGUAUUUAAUUGAAUUAGGAUUGAACAAUAUUUAACAUUGAGAUUUUAAAACUUUGAUCUAUUACAUCUCAUCUUCAAAAUUUUAAAUUCUCAAUCUUAAAUGUAUUCAAUUCUAUUUUAAAUUGAAAUUGAUUAGUCUAUGAAUAAUCAUUCAACGAUUAAAAGUAGUACUACAAACAAGGACACCUUAUUUGACAUACUAGAUACAGAAUUACAAGAAAAUGCAUUUUUCAUAUCACAUGUUUAUGACAUUAGGCUUAAACUUCAAUAUAAAUUCAUCAAGUGUUACCUAUUCUAAGCAAAAAAAACUUCAUUAUAGCACAGAAGGACCAUGUAAACUGCUCAAAGAGAUUUUUUUUUUUUUUUCUAAUUCUUCUUCUUUUUAUAUUUUUUUUAGAGGAGGUGCACUGAAUGAAUUUGUAUUGAAGUUUAAGCCUAAUGUCAUAAAUAUAUGACAUAAAGAAUGCAUUAAUUAUCCUCGGAUAAUAUAUUUAAUUAAAUAGAAUUGAAUCAGAGUAAUUUCUUCUGUCCAAGUUUAUUUGUUUUCAAUAUUUUAGUUUGUUUACUUUUUAUUUUAGAGUUUCGUGUAAAUUUAAAUAACAAAAUAAGUUUAAGAAAACAGCUGGCUUUUUCUAAAGUUGAUAAAUUUUGUGAACAUCAUUGCUAAUAUUACCCGAACUUUGCCAUAAAUCAAUUUAAAAAAAAUAAAUGCUUUCAAAGGAUAUUGAUGUCAUUGCAGGCUCAAUUUUAUUUUCUGAUUGAAAAUAAAUUUUGAUUUUUCUACGAUCAGUAAAGGUUCAAAUUCUUAUUCUAACAACAAACGUUGUUUUGAUACUCUCUGUUAUUAUGUUAUAGAAAUUGGAUUGUUCUUCCCUCAAACUUUUAUUAUGCGGUAGUUUAGAAGCUUAUUUAUUAGUUCCUCUUAAAGGUUAAACCAGAAUGAAUAUACAAGUACGAACGACAGUGUCAGUUAUUAUAAAACUUGGUGUAUGACAUCGAGGUUAGAUAGAACACGACAUGUCGGUUGGAAGCUCCAAUUUCAUGUAUGACAUCAAUCUAAUGUCAUACGAAAAAGUUAUAUAAGUGAAGCAUGCGUUUUUCACAUGACCUCAUGGUAUCUUUGAAGCACAAAGCAGUAAGCUCAGGAUGCCGUUUGAAUAACUUAUUUGUUUCACAUGAUUUGCACGUGACAAAUGCUGUUAAAGUUAGUUAAAAGAGGCGGGAAGAUUCUAGGUUUGUUUCAACAAACCCAGAAACUUAGCUUAGCUACUGAACCAACUUCUAGGAGCUUCCUAGACCUGUAUAUAAAGCCAUAGUGGCUCUAAUCUCGGUGAGGGUAUUCCUUGUAACUCUCUCUACAAACUUGUAACCUGGUUUGAGUGAAUUGACGAAAAAAGCCAUGAUAUGUUUCUCAAAGAGGACGUAAGCCACCUUCGCUGAACCUCUAUAAAUCUAUUGUUUUGAUUUUCAUCUAUUCUUUUAAGCUUGUUUGACGUUAGAUUAUUUCUUGUUUGUCUUAUUAUUGUUCUUUGAUUCAUUAAUUAGCAAUCGUUUUGGGGCGAAAGAUCAGGAUUUAUCAAUUUUGAAAAAUUUAGUAUCAAGCUGGACCCUAAUAGCCAAAAUGUGAUGGUGGAACAACUUAAAUUUGUGAUGGUGAAACAACUUAAAUUUAUCGGACAAAAAAACUAGAGUCCAGUAGUGGUUUCAUCCGGGAGGAGAUUGUAAAACUGUGUCCCACAUUGACUAGUAAAUAGAAAAUAGGGAAAAUAUCCACCGUCCACCCAUUUUUUACACAUUUUUCAAAAAUACACAAUUCCUUCAUUUUUUGGCUGGAAUCCACCUAAAGUUUCAUUUUUUUUCACUUUUCCACUUCCGUUUGGAAUCCGUUAAGAAAACUAACGGAAACUUAAAAAAAUGACCAUUUUACCCCCAAAACGAAAAUUACAAUUUCACCUUAAAAAUUAUAAAAAAUAAUUAGAUUAAAUCUAAUAAUUUUCCCCAUCGGUCAGUAAAGAAAUUAAUUCCACAACCAUCAAAUACAGGUUUUUUUUUAAAAUAUGUCGGUAAUUAGAAUGCUAAAUUAUAACAGUAGUAUUAAAAAUAGCUCAAUCUCACAAACCAUCAAUUGAAUUUAAGAUAAGUAAAAUUUUAUUAUUCAUUGAGUUAUAAUCUCUAGUAGUUAAGAUUUUUUUGUACUUCAUUAACGUACCAAUAAUGAUAUUCAUCAUUAAAUCUUAUUAUUUUUGGCAUUUUUUAGGGUGAAAUUGUAAUUUUCGUUUUGGGGGUAAAAUGGUCAUUUUUUUAAGUUUCCGUUAGUUUGCUUAACGGAUUCCAAACGGAAGUGGAAAAGUGAAAAAAAAUGUAACUUUAGGUGGAUUCCAGCCAAAAAAUGAAAGAAUUGUGUAUUUUUGAAAAAAGUGUAAAAAAUAGGUGGACGAUGGAUAUUUUCCCUAGAAAAUACAUGAGUUAGUAAGUAUGAUAUGACACUUCAUUAAAUAAGUUAGUUUUUUUUGUUGGAUACCUAAAAAUAUAAGGCAAAGUCCCCAACAAUUUCUACCAUAAUUAAUGGUAAAUAUUCAUUUAGUGGGAAAAAAAGAGAAAGUUAUUAUACAAAAAUCUCUUUGUUCAAUAAGUGAAACUUUACAUUCAUGUCACUGAUAGAAAAGAUAAUUCAAAUAGAACAUACACAUAUUUGUAAUUGAAGCCCUAAAAGCUGUGAUAUGGUUCAGUAAUAUCCCUAUACACAGAAAUUUCUAGUCAUUGAAAGAUUUGUAUGAUAUGUAUAGGUUAUUUUUUGUUAGUCACCACCCCUCUUAAUACUUGUCCUGUCAAAGCACGGUCAAUUGCAAUCUGACAAGAGUAGUAUCGACGGCGCUUGGAAACAUCAGUGUCUUCCAGUUGACCAAUUUCUUUCCUUCACCAAAUCAUUCCCAACAACAAGAUCUUCCACUGACCAUGAUGUGGAGCCUGAGUAAUAUAUGGAUUAGCAUUAGAAUGUGCGCAGUUUAAGGUAAUUAGAUGCCAAAUCAAACGUAUAAUUAAAUAGUAGGUUUAUCAGUUCAAUACCUUGAACUGAGGCAAUAAUUGAUUGUUCGAUUUGGGGGAAUAGUUUCCUGCGCCCGUAAAUGGCAUCUCGGGCCAUCUUUGUCCCAUGUAUCCUUACCCUGUAAAAAAGGGAAAAAAUAAAAAUGUGUUAACAAAGAUGCUUAAUUAAAACAAUUUAAAAAGAUAAAAUAAAUAUAUUAACACACUUACUGGGACUUGUCAACAGCAGGAUCAAAUAUCUGGUAAAUCACUAAUUCGAUAUUUAUAAAAUUACUUUUAUUAUUAAUAUUUUUCUCGAUAUUAUAAUAUUUCGUGAGAUUGAUGGGUUAUUUGUUCUUAGUAGUGCACAUUUAUCUUUGCUAAUAAAUGUGAAAUUUGGUGAAUCACAUGCCAAUAUUUGUAAUACUAUAUCCAUUAAUUCUGUAAAUUUUUUGUAGACUUUUAGGUAUACUUUGAAGGAGAGAAAGAAUACAUAGCACUUAAAGAGAUGUUAUUUUUGUUUUAUGAGAGUAUGUGGACAAUGAACUGAAAUUUAUAAUGUAGUUAAUGUUUAAUAUCAUAAAUAUGAGGCCAUAUAAAAAUGCUUAUCC